UACAGAGGGUGCAAGCGUUGUUCGGAAUUACUGGGCGUAAAGGGCGUGUAGGCGGUUGAACAAGUCAGAUGUGAAAGCCCGGGGCUCAACUCCGGAAGUGCAUUUGAAACUGUUCGGCUAGAGUGUAGUAGAGGAUGGCGGAAUUCCCAGUGGAGAGGUGAAAUUCGUAGAUAUUGGGAGGAACACCGGUGGCGAAGGCGGCCAUCUGGGCUACAACUGACGCUGAGGCGCGAGAGCGUGGGGAGCAAACAGG
RNAcentral lists this ribosomal RNA (253 nucleotides) under uncultured bacterium. RNAcentral describes it as "partial 16S ribosomal RNA". It matches the Rfam family "Bacterial small subunit ribosomal RNA", at positions 524 to 776 of the family's 1533-position model. The record is from RNAcentral.